Molecule: ribosomal RNA, 81 nt
Filed under: Vibrio parahaemolyticus
Lineage: Bacteria; Pseudomonadati; Pseudomonadota; Gammaproteobacteria; Vibrionales; Vibrionaceae
Description: partial 16S ribosomal RNA
Rfam family: Bacterial small subunit ribosomal RNA
Source: RNAcentral
CUUAAAUUGAAGAGUUUGAUCAUGGCUCAGAUUGAACGCUGGCGGCAGGCCUAACACAUGCAAGUCGAGCGGAAACGAAUG